UCCCUGGUGGCUCAGUGGUGGAGAAUCUGCCUGCCAAUGCAGGCAGAUUGUGUUGGGUUCAAUACCCAACCCAGGAA
This is a transfer RNA of Ovis aries (sheep), 77 nucleotides long. It matches the Rfam family "tRNA". From Rfam's summary of the family: Transfer RNA (tRNA) molecules are approximately 80 nucleotides in length. Their secondary structure includes four short double-helical elements and three loops (D, anti-codon, and T loops). Further hydrogen bonds mediate the characteristic L-shaped molecular structure. tRNAs have two regions of fundamental functional importance: the anti-codon, which is responsible for specific mRNA codon recognition, and the 3' end, to which the tRNAs corresponding amino acid is attached (by aminoacyl-tRNA synthetases). tRNAs cope with the degeneracy of the genetic code in two manners: having more than one tRNA (with a specific anti-codon) for a particular amino acid; and 'wobble' base-pairing, i.e. permitting non-standard base-pairing at the 3rd anti-codon position. The record is from Rfam. NCBI's taxonomy places the organism in Eukaryota, Metazoa, Chordata, Mammalia, Artiodactyla, Bovidae.